This 173-nucleotide ribosomal RNA is filed under the name uncultured bacterium. RNAcentral describes it as "partial 16S ribosomal RNA". It matches the Rfam family "Bacterial small subunit ribosomal RNA", at positions 1328 to 1500 of the family's 1533-position model. The record is from RNAcentral.
GGAAUUGCUAGUAAUCGUAGGUCAGCAUACUACGGUGAAUACGUUCCCGGGCCUUGUACACACCGCCCGUCAAACCAUGAGAGUUGGCAACACCCGAAGUCGGUAGUCUAACCGCAAGGAGGACGCCGCCGAAGGUGGGGUCGAUGAUUAGGGUUAAGUCGUAACAAGGUAUC